This 204-nucleotide long non-coding RNA is filed under the name Trifolium pratense (red clover). Its description in RNAcentral is "long non-coding RNA (TPRA_LNC012522)". Lineage: Eukaryota; Viridiplantae; Streptophyta; Magnoliopsida; Fabales; Fabaceae. The record is from RNAcentral.
AGCUUAAAACCAUUGACAAGAGAAAAAAGAAUCUUCCCUAUUUUUUGAACAUAUUGGAUUAGCAUGAAAUCAAUGAAAAGAGAGUCAUGCAUACUUUCCAAGAUGAAAACCUAUGAGUUUGAGUUUCAUAGUGCAAGUGUUUUGUUUGUCAUUUUUUUAGCUGCUUUUGAUGAACAUGAAAUAUAUAAGUUGUUUGUAAAAAAU